Molecule: transfer RNA, 85 nt
Filed under: Felis catus (domestic cat)
Lineage: Eukaryota; Metazoa; Chordata; Mammalia; Carnivora; Felidae
Also listed under: 3 other names
Rfam family: tRNA
About the family: Transfer RNA (tRNA) molecules are approximately 80 nucleotides in length. Their secondary structure includes four short double-helical elements and three loops (D, anti-codon, and T loops). Further hydrogen bonds mediate the characteristic L-shaped molecular structure. tRNAs have two regions of fundamental functional importance: the anti-codon, which is responsible for specific mRNA codon recognition, and the 3' end, to which the tRNAs corresponding amino acid is attached (by aminoacyl-tRNA synthetases). tRNAs cope with the degeneracy of the genetic code in two manners: having more than one tRNA (with a specific anti-codon) for a particular amino acid; and 'wobble' base-pairing, i.e. permitting non-standard base-pairing at the 3rd anti-codon position.
Source: Rfam by way of RNAcentral
ACCUGGGUGGCUCAGUCGGUUGAGCGUGGGACUUCAGCUCAGGUCAUGAUCUCACAGUUUGUGGGUUCGAGCCCCACAUCAGGCU